GACGAACGCUGGCGGCGUGCCUAAUACAUGCAAGUUGAGCGCUGAAGGUUGGUCCUUGUACCAACUGGAUGAGCAGCGAACGGGUGAGUAACGCGUGGGGAAUCUGCCUUUGAGCGGGGGACAACAUUUGGAAACGAAUGCUAAUACCGCAUAAAAACUUUAAACACAAGUUUUAAGUUUGAAAGAUGCAAUUGCAUCACUCAAAGAUGAUCCCGCGUUGUAUUAGCUAGUUGGUGAGGUAAAGGCUCACCAAGGCGAUGAUACAUAGCCGACCUGAGAGGGUGAUCGGCCAAAUUGGGACUGAGACACGGCCCAAACUCCUACGGGAGGCAGCAGUAGGGAAUCUUCGGCAAUGGACGAAAGUCUGACCGAGCAACGCCGCGGGAGUGAAGAAGGGUGUCGGAUCGUAAAACUCGGUUGGUAGAGAAGAACGUUGGUGAGAGUGGAAAGCUCAUCAAGUGACGGUAACUACCCAGAAAGGGACGGCUAACUACGUG
Molecule: ribosomal RNA, 497 nt
Filed under: uncultured bacterium
Lineage: Bacteria
Description: partial 16S ribosomal RNA
Rfam family: Bacterial small subunit ribosomal RNA
Source: RNAcentral